AGACAGCAGUAGCCACGGUAAUACAGAGGGUGCGAGCGUUAAUCGGAUUUACUGGGCGUAAAGCGUGCGUAGGCGGCUUCUUAAGUCGGAUGUGAAAUCCCUGAGCUUAACUUAGGAAUUGCAUUCGAUACUGGGAAGCUAGAGUAUGGGAGAGGAUGGUAGAAUUCCAGGUGUAGCGGUGAAAUGCGUAGAGAUCUGGAGGAAUACCGAUGGCGAAGGCAGCCAUCUGGCCUAAUACUGACGCUGAGGUACGAAAGCAUGGGGAGCAAACAGGAUUAGAGACCCCCGUAGUCCCUGUCUCUUAUAA
This 307-nucleotide ribosomal RNA is filed under the name uncultured bacterium. RNAcentral's name for it is "partial 16S ribosomal RNA". It matches the Rfam family "Bacterial small subunit ribosomal RNA", at positions 506 to 809 of the family's 1533-position model. The record is from RNAcentral.